Molecule: ribosomal RNA, 240 nt
Filed under: uncultured eukaryote
Lineage: Eukaryota
Description: partial 18S ribosomal RNA
Rfam family: Eukaryotic small subunit ribosomal RNA
Source: RNAcentral
AGAAAUCUCACCAGGCCCGGACACUGGAAGGAUUGACAGAUUGAUAGCUCGUCCUUGAUUCGGUGGGUGGUGGUGCAUGGCCGUUCUUAGUUGGUGGAGCGAUCUGUCUGGUUAAUUCCGAUAACGAACGAGACCCCAACCUGCUAACUAGCCCUCGGGUCCUGCUUCUGUUGGGCCCGACGGAAUGAUUCGCUUCUUAGAGGGACUCGCGGCGCCUAGCCGCACGAAGGGGGGCGAUAA